Molecule: long non-coding RNA, 2432 nt
Organism: Brassica napus (rape)
Lineage: Eukaryota; Viridiplantae; Streptophyta; Magnoliopsida; Brassicales; Brassicaceae
Exons: 2
Source: RefSeq, a predicted model, not a curated record
GAAAUUAAUCAAUACUAUUAAAUUAGGAACAUAUCCUAUUGAUAAUAGUUGAAUCCAAUUUAAAAUAUAACUGCAAUUAAAAUCAAUAUUACAUGUUUAAAUAUUUAAACUACCAUAAUCUACCUAUUACGAAAAUGGUUAUCAAACUAACUCCCCUUUAAUUCCUAUAUUCUCGGGACCAUCUCUCUUAUCAAUACUAACUGAUUAAAAUCCACGGUUACGUAUGUUUUAUACAUAUGCGCAUGCAUAUAAAACUAUAUCACAAACUCAUAAUGCGCAUAACAGACAAUACUAACUAAUUAAAAUCCACGGUCACAUGGAAUAACAGUCGUGUAGUAUAGACAUGUUCAUAAUGACAAUCAUAAAAUCUGUCUAUUACCUUUUGACCGUGUAGGUAAAAGUAACACUAUAUUAAAGCACACACAAAAAUAUUAAAAAAUAAAUUAGAAAACUAAACUAUCUUUUUUGAUUCAGGUAUUUUAUAUCUAAGUUACUUAACUUAUUUAAAAAUAACUGAAAUUAUCAAAAUACAACAUGUUAAGAUUUAUCAAGACUUAUAUAUAAUAAAUUAUCUCAAAAUCACUUUCCCAUUAACCUAUAUAAAAUAUCCAAAAUUUUAAAAGGCACGUCUACCGUAUUCUAAAUCAAAAUUUAGAAUUCACGGUUACGUAAUAUAUUUGAGCGGGUGGAAGAAUAUAAACCAUAAGAUUGAAAUAUAUAUAUAUUUUUGACGAAUUAUGUUAGGUAACUACUAAAAAAAAUAAUAUGUUGUAAACUUUACGAAUAAAGUUUAAAAAUAAUUUCUGAAAUGCAUAUGACACAAGUGUACAAUUAUGCAACCAUUGACAUAUUUAAUAUAAUUACCAAAAAUUAUAUUAAAUUAAUAUUAAUAUUAAACACAAAUAUAAAAACUAAAUUUCUCAAAAUUAAAACAAAAAUAUACCCGCUCUUUGAAAGAGCGGGUCAUAAUCUAGUAUUUUCUUACAAUAAAACUGAAAGUCAAUUGUAUCUACUCUUAAAUUAUUCCUUUCUUCUUUUUUAUCAACCACACGUGAAAUUAUAAAUAAGCUCAUUUGGAGAUCAAAUGUUUACAAUUUUUCAUUCUCUUCAUGCAUAGAAAUUGCUUAUUAUUAAUUCCUCGUUAAUUUCAUUUGUUAUCAUCAUCAUCCCCAUUUUUAUAUUGUUCUUCUGGUGGUUAUAUUUUUUUUCUUAAGAUGUAUAGUUUGAAAGUGAUAGAUAAAGGGUAUAUAGUUUCGAGAUAGAUUUUAGAGGUAUAAAAAAUUUAAUAUGAACUUCAAUAAAAAUAUUUUAAAAAAUCAUGAUUGUGAUCAUUUAUUUUGCCUCUAACUUCUCUCUAAAAAGAACUUCGCUAAUACAACUCCGACUUUGGUAGCCGGUGGCUUUCGCCGCCGGUUACUGAUUUUCUUUUUUUCUUUUGUAAUUAAAUAAGACUUUUCGAUCUGUUUGAUCGAUCUUAGUUACUUCCGAUUAGCAGAUUUGUUUUUCCUUAAGGGAUUUUGCUGUGUUUUAAAAUCUGUUUUUCUCCUUUCCUGAUCUAUAUAUUAUCCCGUUUGAUUUUGGAGGGUUUAAAUCUUCUCAAAAGUUAUGUUUGAUUUGUUACUCAGCGAGAAAUCAAUCUUCGCGUUCAAAUUCGUGGGCGGAGUGGAGUAUCCAGAGUUGAUAAGAAAUCGAGUUGUUUGAUUAAGCGAAGGAGAGAGGAUGCGGUUUCAAAUUAGCUGGAGUUCUCUUUUUGAAAACAUUAUGGGCGAGACUCUGCGUUUUAUCUCCUUGAAACUUCUCACUGGGCCUAAUACUUGCGGGUUGAUGAAGAACAUGAAAAGAUCCACGUAGAACGGUCAAGCAGUUUAACUAAACGGAGAAAAAAAUUCACGGUGUUCGAUCCGGCAGAGUUUCCAGCGUCACAUGUGAUGCUUCCUCCGAUUCCAGAAAGGUGGUGACUGGGCUGAAAUAUUGUAUGGGUGGGGAUGAACCGUUUGUUAAUGGGCUUUUCUAAGCUUAAUGAAAAGCAUCCUUGACAAAAAGAAAAAAGAUUCCAAAAACAAUUUGGAGCUCCAGGGUCGGGGUACUACGUAGUUUUAAAAAGCGCUUACAGAGCAAAUAAUGCAACAUGUAACUUUAAGGAGUGAUUUAGAGAGAUGGAGAAGGAAGGCCCUAUAGUAGCCCAUUUCUGGAAGCCGAAAGACCGUGCUGUUGUGCCGAGGCGCAAAGAAGAUUCAAAGCAAAUUUAGAUUGGGAGCCUACGAUAACAAAGAGGUAAUCAGUUUACAUGUGCUGGAAUGCUUAGAAUCUUUGAUUAAAAGGAAGCAUCAUCGGUUCAAGAAAGCUUGUCUUUCUUUGAUCAAACAUCUCAUCACCGUUUGUCUUUCUUUUAUUGUCUUAAACUAAGCAAGCUUGAAGCCAAAGUUCACAAA